CCUACGGGAGGCAGCAGUAGGGAAUAUUGCUCAAUGGGGGAAACCCUGAAGCAGCAACGCCGCGUGGAGGAUGAAGGUUUUCGGAUUGUAAACUCCUUUUGUUAGAGAAGAUAAUGACGGUAUCUAACGAAUAAGCACCGGCUAACUCCGUGCCAGCAGCCGCGGUAAUACGGAGGGUGCACGCGUUACUCGGAAUCACUGGGCGGAAAGAGCGCGUAGGCGGGAUAGCAAGUCAGAUGUGAAAUCCUAUGGCUUAACCAUAGAACUGCAUUUGAAACUGUUAUUCUAGAGUAUGGGAGAGGUAGGUGGAAUUCUUGGUGUAGGGGUAAAAUCCGUAGAGAUCAAGAGGAAUACUCAUUGCGAAGGCGACCUGCUAGAACAUAACUGACGCUGAUGCGCGAAAGCGUGGGGAGCAAACAGGAUUAGAUACCCCAGUAGUC
This 440-nucleotide ribosomal RNA is filed under the name uncultured bacterium. RNAcentral describes it as "partial 16S ribosomal RNA". It matches the Rfam family "Bacterial small subunit ribosomal RNA", at positions 338 to 795 of the family's 1533-position model. The record is from RNAcentral.